Sapajus apella (tufted capuchin) is the source of this 2410-nucleotide long non-coding RNA. RefSeq lists it as uncharacterized. Lineage: Eukaryota; Metazoa; Chordata; Mammalia; Primates; Cebidae. The record is from RefSeq and is a predicted model, not a curated record. The transcript is spliced from 2 exons.
GCUGGCCAGGCUGGUCUCGAACUCCUAACCUCGUGAUCCACCCACCUCAGCCUCCCAAAGUGCUGGGAUUACAGGCGUGAGCCACCACGCUGGUGUAUUCCCAUAUCUCUUUUAAUGUCUGUAGAAUCUAUAGUGGUGUCCACUCUUUCAUUCCUGAUAUUGCUAAUUUUUAUGUUUCCUCUUUUUAUCUUGAAAUAACUAUAGAGUUUUGUCAGUUUUAUUGAUGAUAACCCAGUUUUUUGUUUCAUUAACUUUCACUUCUAUUUGUCUGUAGUCUCUUAAUAUUGCACUUUUGUCUUUAUUUUCCUACUUACUUUGGGUUUAAUUUGUUCUUAGUUUUAGCUUCUUAAAAUAGAAGUUUAGAUCUUCUAAUAUAAGCAUCUUCCCAUGAAUUUGAAUAUGUUGUGGCUUCAUUUUCAUUCAGUUCAGGUUAUUUUAAGCCAUUUUUAGUUAUUCUUUAAUCCAUGGAUUUUUACAUUUCUGAACAUAUAAGGGAUUUUUCUAAUAUCUUUCUGUCAAAUUCUGUUGUGAUCAGAGAACAAUUCUGUAUGAUUUUAAUGCUUUUUAAAGUUAGUAAGAUUUGCUUUGGUCUGACAUAUAGCCUAUCUUGGUACUUGUUGCAUUUGAUUCUUUUUUUAUGUUUCCCAUUUUCUCCUCAUUUUGCCCAUGUUUUCCUUUAAGGCCUUGGGAAUUUUUGUAGUAUUUAUAAUAGUUUGUUUAAUUUCUUUGUCUGCUAUUCCGUAAGUUCUGUCAUUUCUGAGUCUAUUUCUGUUGACUAAUUUUUCUCCUGUUUAUGGGUCAUAUUCUGUAUGUCUGCAUGUCUAAUAAUGUCUUACUGGAUGCCAAACAUUGUGACUAUUACAUUGUCAACUGCUGGAUUUUGUUCUGUUCCUUUAAAGAGAAUUGCAUUUUGUUCUGACAGGGAGUAAAGUUACUUGUGGGUCAGUUUUAUACCUCCAAGGCUUAUUUUUAGUUUGUCUCUUUUGUUGCUUUGCUUCAAGGCUAGUUUAGCCCUGCUAAGACAUUACUCUUUUAUAGUCUCUUCUUUUCGGCUAUUAAGGAGUUUGAAAUUUUUCCUGCCCUCUGUGAGCUCUGGAAUCAUUCAUCUUACAACUCCUUGGUGAUCUUUUCUCAGAAGCUGUCCUUUGCCUGACUUCUUGCAGUUCCACACGUAUAGCUUAAUAUUCAGCCAGGGACUCAAUAAACCCCAUGUAGAUUUCUGGGAGCUCUUCUUCAGUACUAUGUCUUGCAAAUUUUAGCCACUUUGGCCUCCUUGUCUUCUCAACUCUGAUUUCUGCCUACUCAGCUGGGCAAGACUACAGAACUCCGUUUGAGUUUCCUCCCUGUGCCUGUGGUCCGGAAAUUGCCUCCAAGCAGAAGGCUAGGGCAAUCUGGGGUUCACCUCAUUUGUUUCCUCUCUCUCGGGGAUCACAGUCCUGUACUACCUGUUAUAGUCGAAUAUCAAAAACGGCUGUUUCAUAUGUUUAUCUAGUUUCUAGUUGUUUCUAGCAGGUAAGAAGUCUGGACCUUCUUGGUUCCUUACUGCCUUGUAUGCCCAUUAGUUUUUAUAAAGACUGGUUAGCUAGUAAGACUAUUAAAUAGAAUCUUUCCCUCUCUGCUAGCUCUCAUUUCUGAGUAAAAUUUUUGGGAGACUUGUUUGGCAUAGGAAUCUUGGGGUGAGAGUAUGCUUCGCAGGCUUUACUUUGGGUGACUGGGAAAAACAGCUGUCAGGAUGUGGAAAAACUCUCAAAUGUCAUAACAAGAAAGGGUUUACACCAAGAUCUUAGGUAUGGGGAUUGCAAUGGGAAUGCUAACUGGUGCAAUUAUCCUAUAUACAGACAUUCAUUUUACUCCCUUGAAUGUAGGAAGUGGCUGCCCUUCUUCCUCCCUUUUUCCAUUGCACCUAUUUACUUGUAGUCCAGCUUCUGCUUCCUCCGCAGUGCUCUCGUAGCUUGUUUAAGGGCCAUGGCCUCUCUUCUAGUAAAAAUAUUUGAGCAUGUCACUGAUAUUCACUGAAUUAUAAAAAUUAUGUACAUAUACAGAUAUAUUAUUAUAUAUUUAAUAAAAAUAAUGAUUUUGAGAUGAAAGAGGUACAAAAUACCUACAAAUAGAAGGUAUUUUCUUAAUACAUCUCCUUAUUAUAUGUUCUUCACUUUGGAGACCACUGUCUCUUUGGUGACUUCUUCCGUCACCUUGUUUGUGUUUAUUUUCAGUCACCCAGCAAAUUUACUAAAUGUUCAUCUUUUUGUGUAUGUGGGACACCCUUUUGUAAUUAUGGGUUUAUUUUUUCUACUGAGAGAGAAUGGAGGCAAAUAUAUGUAAUGGGUCCACCAGUUUGAACUGGAAGUCUGUCUGAUACAUUUCUUAAAAUAAAUCUUUGAAUAAUUAAAAUGUCUUUUUUUUUUUUUUU